CGCCCCGGCACUGCGCCAGCCCGGUGCCCCGGCAUCCCCCCGCCCCCAGCCCGGCCUGGCACCCCAGGCCCCCCCUGCCCGAGGGUGCCGGGUGCCCCUGCCGGGCGGCCCCCAGGACCGCGCGGUCCCCUCGGCCGGGCCCCGGGCCGCAGCGCCGCCGCCGCGGGGCGAGGGGCGGGGAGCGCGGGGCCGCUCGCCCGGCCGGGCAGCGCGGUGGCGGAAGGCUAACAAUAGCCCACAAAGGGAGGAUGUCUCCCCUCCGCGCGCCCCCCGACGCCUCCCCGACGGGUCUUCGAGGAAACUGCCAGCGGCGGAGCGGGGCCCCGCCGGACGCGCGCCUUCCGAUGAGUUUUGUCCUGUUUACGCUUGUUUGUUUGGAGCGGGGACGGGGGCGGCAGGGCCCGGGCCACCGGCGAGGGCUCAGCGGGUGCUGAGCUGCCACCCUGGCGGCAGGCCUGCAGGGAGGGGGGAGGAAGCCUCGUUAGCACAUGUCACUAAUUACCAGGAUGGAAGUAAAGCUCAGCCUGCCUGUUGC
Long non-coding RNA from Dromaius novaehollandiae (emu), 535 nucleotides. RefSeq lists it as uncharacterized. The record is from RefSeq and is a predicted model, not a curated record. The transcript has 2 exons. Lineage: Eukaryota; Metazoa; Chordata; Aves; Casuariiformes; Dromaiidae.